Pocillopora damicornis (cauliflower coral) is the source of this 639-nucleotide long non-coding RNA. Lineage: Eukaryota; Metazoa; Cnidaria; Anthozoa; Scleractinia; Pocilloporidae. The record is from RefSeq and is a predicted model, not a curated record.
AGCAGAGACGUACUGCCAGCACUAGUGAUAAGGAAAGCAUGGCAUACAGAAAGGCGAAACGUACAAGUCGAUGACAUUGUAGUCAUGGCGGACAACAAUGCUAUCCGCGGUAAAUGGACCAUCGGCAGAGUAAUCGAGGUGUAUCCCGGGACAGAUGGCCGAGUCCGUAAUGUCAAAGUAAAAACACCAGCCGGAGAGUACAGCCGCCCAGUCACCAAGAUUGCUGUUAUAUAUCCUGCUGAGGGAUACGACUAAAGAAAGUUAGGCUGACUUCAAGAAGGAUAAGGACUACGCCCUUAUCGGGGCGGAGAAUGUUUCGUUUAAUAAAUAGGCGUUGCCUCGUGUUGACAGAUUUAUUCGAUGACAAGAAUCGUGAUUGACAUUAAUUCAAUAGAUUGAUUUAAAAGCGUUAGAUUAUUAUGUUUAAGUCAGUUUUUCAGCAGAAUCGAAGUGAGAAAGAAGUUAUUUUGUUAUCGUUUUUCUGUCUCUAAAUCCGCUUACCUGGAGAAUCUGCUAACCCGUAAAGUGAGACUGUUGUAACGACCCGCCACAGAAAUCGAAUAAUUAUUAAAGCUUGGCUUAAUAUUAUACGGUUUGUGGUGGUCAUUUGAUCUAACCAGUUCCGAGUAAGGAAACAUU